Molecule: ribosomal RNA, 429 nt
Filed under: Bacillota bacterium
Lineage: Bacteria; Bacillati; Bacillota
Description: Firmicutes bacterium partial 16S ribosomal RNA
Rfam family: Bacterial small subunit ribosomal RNA
Source: RNAcentral
UGGGGAAUUUUGGACAAUGGGGGCAACCCUGAUCCAGCGAUGCCGCGAGUGUGAAGAAGGCCUUCGGGUUGUAAAGCACUUUUGUCCGGGAAGAAAUCGCACCUGAGAAUACCGGGUGUGGAUGACGGUACCGGAAGAAUAAGGACCGGCUAACUACGUGCCAGCAGCCGAGGUAAUACGUAGGGUCCAAGCGUUAAUCGGAAUUACUGGGCGUAAAGCGUGCGCAGGCGGUUGUGCAAGACCGAUGUGAAAUCCCCGGGCUUAACCUGGGAAUUGCAUUGGUGACUGCACGGCUAGAGUGUGUCAGAGGGGGGUAGAAUUCCACGUGUAGCAGUGAAAUGCGUAGAGAUGUGGAGGAAUACCGAUGGCGAAGGCAGCCCCCUGGGAUAACACUGACGCUCAUGCACGAAAGCGUGGGGAGCAAACAGG